UAAUCACUCACCACCAACACCAUCACUCGACCGGACACUCGAUCACAUCUUCAUAGUCUACUCAAAUCCGCACUCAACCAGACAAGCUGAGCACAAGGAAGAGAAGAGGAGAAGACGAAAUGUUUGGAAGCGGCCUGGAACUCCAUCGGAUCACAAAGCCCAUCUCAGCCCAUUAUCACUCUAUGGGGCAGGCGAUUAGGUUACUGGCCCGUCUACUAUCAUUUCAUUUCGUU
This 233-nucleotide small RNA is filed under the name Arabidopsis thaliana (thale cress). Its description in RNAcentral is "ATSL092210". Lineage: Eukaryota; Viridiplantae; Streptophyta; Magnoliopsida; Brassicales; Brassicaceae. The record is from RNAcentral.